AUUGAACGCUGGCGGAAUGCUUUACACAUGCCAGUCGAGCGGCAGCACGGGGGCAACCCUGGUGGUGAGCGGCGAACGGGUGAGUAAUACAUCGGAACAUGCCUAGUCGUGGGGGAUAACACUUCGAAAGAGGUGCUAAUACCGCAUACGUCCUGAGGGGGAAAGCGGGGGAUCGCCAGACCUCGCGCGAUUGGAGUGGCCGAUGUCGGAUUAGCUAGUUGGUGGGGUAAAGGCCUACCAAGGCGACGAUCUGUAGCUGGUCUGAGAGGAUGAUCAGCCACACUGGAACUGAGACACGGUCCAGACUCCUACGGGAGGCAGCAGUGGGGAAUUUUGGACAAUGGGCGAAAGCCUGAUCCAGCCAUGCCGCGUGUGUGAAGAAGGUCUUCGGAUUGUAAAGCACUUUCAGUUGGGGGGAAGCGGAGUAAGUUAAUACAUUGCUGUAUUGACGUUACCAAAAGAAUAAGCACCGGCUAACUUCGUG
RNAcentral lists this ribosomal RNA (484 nucleotides) under uncultured bacterium. RNAcentral's name for it is "partial 16S ribosomal RNA". It matches the Rfam family "Bacterial small subunit ribosomal RNA", at positions 30 to 507 of the family's 1533-position model. The record is from RNAcentral.